This 80-nucleotide transfer RNA is filed under the name Trametes cinnabarina. Its description in RNAcentral is "Pycnoporus cinnabarinus tRNA". It matches the Rfam family "tRNA". Rfam says of the family: Transfer RNA (tRNA) molecules are approximately 80 nucleotides in length. Their secondary structure includes four short double-helical elements and three loops (D, anti-codon, and T loops). Further hydrogen bonds mediate the characteristic L-shaped molecular structure. tRNAs have two regions of fundamental functional importance: the anti-codon, which is responsible for specific mRNA codon recognition, and the 3' end, to which the tRNAs corresponding amino acid is attached (by aminoacyl-tRNA synthetases). tRNAs cope with the degeneracy of the genetic code in two manners: having more than one tRNA (with a specific anti-codon) for a particular amino acid; and 'wobble' base-pairing, i.e. permitting non-standard base-pairing at the 3rd anti-codon position. The record is from Rfam by way of RNAcentral. Lineage: Eukaryota; Fungi; Basidiomycota; Agaricomycetes; Polyporales; Polyporaceae.
GGUGCUAUAGUGUAGUGGUUAUCACUCGGGAUUUUGACCGACACUUUCCCGAAACCCAGGUUCGAACCCUGGUAGCACCU